Molecule: long non-coding RNA, 304 nt
Filed under: Elaeis guineensis (African oil palm)
Lineage: Eukaryota; Viridiplantae; Streptophyta; Magnoliopsida; Arecales; Arecaceae
Description: long non-coding RNA (EGUI_LNC038598)
Source: RNAcentral
CACCGAGGAAGAGUGGAUUGGAUGACCUCGAUGAAGUACAAAAUUCUCAGCAAAAGUUCUGCAUUUGAUGCGUGUACAAUUUAAAGCUUCCACCCCAUCCUGGACCAGGAAUGUAUCAUUCGCGCCAGAGAAGGAUUCAGUUUCCUUCAUAUAAAUCAUCUAAACAUUUUUAUUUAUUAAAACAUGCAUUGAUAAUUAUUCAGCUUUCCACGAUUGUUUCUUUUGUUCCUUUUUAAACUUAAAAUUGCUAAAAUCAUUCAUCUAAAAAGUUAUUUAUCUUUUAUAGAUAGAUUUAGGCAAAGAU